GUAGGUGAACCUGCGGAAGGAUCAUUACAGAAAGUAAACGCGGAUCAAACCGCGAACUUCUAAACCUUUGACGAUUGACUCAUGUUGCCUCGGCGGGUUCUCCCGCCAGAGGAUACAUCAAAACUCCUGUUUUAACGGUGUUGUCUGAGCUACAAGCAACGAAUCAAAACUUUCAACAACGGAUCUCUUGGUUCUGGCAUCGAUGAAGAACGCAGCGAAAUGCGAUAAGUAGUGUGAAUUGCAGAAUUCAGUGAAUCAUCGAAUCUUUGAACGCACAUUGCGCCCCUUGGUAUCCCGAGGGGCAUGCCUGUUCGAGCGUCAUUUCACCACUCAAGCCUGGCUUGGUGUUGGGCGACGUCCCCUUUGGGGACGCGCCUCGAAACGCUCGGCGGCGUGGCACCGGCUUUAAGCGUAGCAGAAUCUUUCGCUUCAAAAGUCGGGGCCCCGUCUGCCGGAAGACCUACUCGCAAGGUUGACCUCGGAUCAGGCAGGGAUACCCGCUGAACUUAAGCAUAUCAAUAAGCGGAGGA
RNAcentral lists this ribosomal RNA (530 nucleotides) under uncultured fungus. RNAcentral describes it as "eukaryotic LSU rRNA". The stretch from base 168 to 321 matches the Rfam family "5.8S ribosomal RNA". Lineage: Eukaryota; Fungi. The record is from RNAcentral.